AUUUCUCCUCUUCCUCUUGUCCCAUAUCUGAAAAAAAAAAAUCGCCACCACCAGCCCCUCUUCAAGUCAGCAGACCGACGGUCGACGUCCCUUUUCAACUCUCCUCUGCUCGACGGUUGACGCUCGAGCUUAACGUCUCACACACGUGCACCAGUCACCAUCAUCGUUGGCAGAUUCAUUCAUCUCAUUGCACGGUAGGAUAGUUUAACUUUAUUUUCUUUUUUUAUGUAUUAUUUCUUUUAUUUCUCUAAAUACUUUCUCUGCUGCAAAUUUUUAUGGUUGUCGACAAAGAGAGAGAAUGUUUUUGUCGGUUUUAGCUUAGUUGCGUCUUAGCUCAUUGACUUUUAUGCUUAGUGCUCUCUUUUUUUCUACCAUCGUUUCCACUUUGUUUCCCUUAACUUCAACGUGAAUUACUUAUUCUAGUGAACCCCAUAGCUCGAAUCUGCAAGUACAAGUGGGAAAAGAAACUAUGUUAAUUAAAAAAAAUAAACCGUACCGAAUCGACUGAUUCGAUUAUUUCGGUUUUGCACAUAACUUCAGUUUGGUUAAUUUGGUUACAACAAAAAUUUUGAUUUAUUCAAUUAUUGCCAUGAAAUAACCAAAUAGACUGAAUGCACACUUGUUAUGGUAUUUUCUGUUUUCAACCCAAAACUUGAAUAUAACCUCGAACCAUCAACCCACAACCUGAGUAGAUGCAAAAGAACUUGAGCCCCACAAGGUAGAGACAUUAGGGGCUCGUGGGGAGAGCGCUCACAUGUUCCUAGGUGUUCGCAAGCAGAGGAUGCGAAAUCAAGUGGGUAGUUCGAGGAACAAGUGUUAAGUCUAGAAUAGUAUACAUGUUGGCAUGCAUGGAGCCUACCUAGGACGUCAUUUCAAUGAAUAGAAAUUGUGUCUUAUAAAUACUCGAUUCCCCUCAUCGAGAGGACACAUCAGAACACUCAAUAAUUUGGUGUAGUGAGCGUGGACAGACUUCUGAUCGAUAGAUUUUCUUUUAAUUUGUAAAAAUCAGAAUGGCUCGCCUAGAUGAAAAUUUCCCCAUCAACUUUUCAUCAAGACAAGCUGGAGCUUCAGGUACAGGUGGCCAACCCACUAAGGCUAAUUUGUUUGCCAGCUAGUUUGUUGAACAACCGAAAAAUUUGGGUAACGUGGCCCACGUAGGGGCCUCAAACUCUUUUGACCUAAAAUUUCCUUCUAGCUAAGAGUUGUCGUUCUUUUCUAAUCAAGAAGCAUUGUUGUAGUAGUUUUUUGCUCUUCAAGAGCAAAUGAAAUUGAUGAAGGAACAAAUGGCCAUACAGAACGUGAGGUUUGAGCAACAAAAAACAUUUCAUCAGGAGCUCUUAAAAUUAUGAAGAGCUCAGAAGAAAGGUUCAAUCCGACAACUCCGAUUUUCAUGAUAAUGCAGCCAUGCGGGAAGAAGGUACUAAUGUGCAUACAAAAUAGUGGCAAAGUGAGAUGGAUGCUUUACGGUGAGACAUAAGGGCUUUGCAUCUUGAGUUUAUAUUAAUUAAAGCUUUUGAAUGUUUAUGGUAGAGUUUGAAGCUUUGAUGGAAAAUAGGAUUAUUUUAUAAUGUAAUUUUUGUUAGUUUUGAACAUAAGGACUAAAUUGUUAAUAUUUUGAAAUUGACAUGUAAUUUUUUAUAAUAUGAGGCUGUAAUUGGAUAUAUUUGAAGUUGGUUUAAAAUUUGGAGUCCAAAUUUGGAAUUUAUGAUAAGUUUGAUUUUAAGGACUAAAUUGAAUAAAAUGUAAAACUUGAGGAAAUAAUUGAAAGAUUAAAUUAAGCUUAUAUAUAUUUGUAAUAGGUUGUUAUAUAAUAUUUGAUUGAUUAAAUGGAAAUAAAUUUAUAUUAUAUAUCAAGAUUUGAACAAGACGAUUGAUAAUUGAGAAAGAAGGAAAUUAUAGACUAGUCCCUGACACUUUUGCUUUUGUUGUUAGCCUCUGGUAAGUUCAUACAUUAUAAAUAUAUUUAAAUUGUUGUUAAGUUUUAUUUGUAUGUUUAUUAAUGUUUUUUUGAUAUCUUGAAUUGGCUAUGAAUUAGUACAUAAAUUGAGAACUGAAUUAGAUUGAAAUGAAUUGUUAUAAAAUGGUAUAAUGUGAGAUUAAACCCUGAUGAAAUGAGUAAAAGUCUCGUAUACAAGGUUACAUGUUAUUGCCUGCAGGUUCUGAGCUCUAGCAUGUGUUGCAGACUCAAGAAUACAAGUUUAUUAAGCCUUGGCCAAGCUACAUGUUGUGUAGGUUCAACCCUGACGGGUGACCAGGCAUUAUUAUUCGAUUCAUAUAUGUUCAACUCUAACAGGUGACCAAGCACUAUUAUUCGAUUCAUGUGGGUUCAACCCUAACGGGUGACUAGGCACUAUUAUUUGAUUCUGUAGGUUCAACCUUAACAGUUGACCAGACACUAUUAUCUGAUUCGUGUAAGUUUAAUCCAAACGGGUAACCAGGCACUAUUAUUCGAUUCGUGUAGGUUUAACCCAAACGAGUAACCAAACACUAUUACUUUCAUUUGUGUUGAAGUUCUUUUACGAAUUUUCAUUGGGUAACAUUGUGAGUGAAAAUGUGAUGAUAUGUUGUUAGAUGUUGACAAAGUAAUGUAUAUGAUUUGGGUAUAAGGUAUGAGUUUGAUUAUGAUAGAAAUAUGAAAAAUUGAGGUUAUAUUUAUGGUUUGAGCUCAAAGCCUA
Molecule: long non-coding RNA, 2675 nt
Filed under: Gossypium barbadense (sea-island cotton)
Lineage: Eukaryota; Viridiplantae; Streptophyta; Magnoliopsida; Malvales; Malvaceae
Description: long non-coding RNA (GBAR_LNC006372)
Source: RNAcentral